RNAcentral lists this ribosomal RNA (794 nucleotides) under uncultured Thermococcus sp. RNAcentral's name for it is "bacterial SSU rRNA". It matches the Rfam family "Archaeal small subunit ribosomal RNA", at positions 85 to 876 of the family's 1478-position model. The record is from RNAcentral. Lineage: Archaea; Methanobacteriati; Methanobacteriota; Thermococci; Thermococcales; Thermococcaceae.
ACGGCUCAGUAACACGUCGGUAACCUACCCUCGGGAGGGGGAUAACCCCGGGAAACUGGGGCUAAUUCCCCAUAGGCCUGAGGUACUGGAAGGUCCUCAGGCCGAAAGGGACUUAUGUCCGCCCGAGGAUGGGCCGGCGGCCGAUUAGGUAGUUGGUGGGGUAAUGGCCCACCAAGCCGAAGAUCGGUACGGGCUGUGAGAGCAGGAGCCCGGAGAUGGACACUGAGACACGGGUCCAGGCCCUACGGGGCGCAGCAGGCGCGAAACCUCCGCAAUGCGGGAAACCGCGACGGGGGGACCCCGAGUGCCGUGGCAACGCCACGGCUUUUCCGGAGUGUAAAAAGCUCCGGGAAUAAGGGCUGGGCAAGGCCGGUGGCAGCCGCCGCGGUAAUACCGGCGGCCCGAGUGGUGGCCGCUAUUAUUGGGCCUAAAGUGUCCGUAGCCGGGCCCGUAAGUCCCUGGCGAAAUCCCACGGCUCAACCGUGGGGCUUGCUGGGGAUACUGCGGGUCUUGGGACCGGGAGAGGCGGGGGGUACCCCUGGGGUAGGGGUGAAAUCCUAUAAUCCCAGGGGGACCGCCAGUGGCGAAGGCGCCCCGCUGGAACGGGUCCGACGGUGAGGGACGAAGGCCAGGGGAGCAAACCGGAUUAGAUACCCGGGUAGUCCUGGCUGUAAAGGAUGCGGGCUAGGUGUCGGGUGAGCCCCGAGCUCGCCCGGUGCCGUAGGGAAGCCGUUAAGCCCGCCGCCUGGGGAGUACGGCCGCAAGGCUGAAACUUAAAGGAAUUGGCGGGGGAG